AACCUCCGCAAUGUGAGAAAUCGCGACGGGGGGAUCCCAAGUGCCAUUCUUAACGGGAUGGCUUUUCAUUAGUGUAAAGAGCUUUUGGAAUAAGGGCUGGGCAAGACCGGUGCCAGCCGCCGCGGUAACACCGGCAGCUCUAGUGGUAGCAGUUUUUAUUGGGCCUAAAGCGUCCGUAGCCGGUUUAAUAAGUCUCUGGUGAAAUCCUGUAGCUUAACUGUGGGAAUUGCUGGAGAUACUAUUAGACUUGAGACCGGGAGAGGUUAGAGGUACUCCCAGGGUAGAGGUGAAAUUCUGUAAUCCUGGGAGGACCGCCUGUUGCGAAGGCGUCUAACUGGAACGGUUCUGACGGUGAGGGACGAAAGUUAGGGGCGCGAACCGGAUUAGAUACCCGGGUAGUCCUAACUGUAAACGAUGCGGACUUGGUGUUGGGGUGGCUUUGAGCUGCUCCAGUGCGAAGGGAAGCUGUUAAGUCCGCCGCCUGGGAAGUACGGUCGCAAGACUGAAACUUAAAGGAAUG
RNAcentral lists this ribosomal RNA (520 nucleotides) under uncultured bacterium. RNAcentral describes it as "bacterial SSU rRNA". It matches the Rfam family "Archaeal small subunit ribosomal RNA", at positions 345 to 866 of the family's 1478-position model. The record is from RNAcentral.